This 2358-nucleotide long non-coding RNA is filed under the name Mus musculus (house mouse). Its description in RNAcentral is "long non-coding RNA chrX:13170967-13173325". Lineage: Eukaryota; Metazoa; Chordata; Mammalia; Rodentia; Muridae. The record is from RNAcentral.
AUAACCUUCUCUGUCUGCCUGUCUCUCUUUUUUUGAGGACUGCAUAUUUCUGGAAAGCUGAUUUCUAUGCAUAGCAUGUGUAGACAUAACCAGCAAUGAAGAUUUUAGUCUCAUUAAGUUUUUGUGCACAGAAAGAUGGGGGUCUUUGGCUCUUUACUAAAGACUUGGAGAACCGGAUGUUGAUGCUGUAAAAGUUCCCUAACAAUCAAUCUUGUACUUUUUGUAUGUUUUUAUAUACAUGUGUAUUUAAUGAGCACAAGCUUGGUUGUAUUUUUUACGAUUCAGUUGAUAGGAAAAUGUUUUAAGGCUAUAGUUGGCAUUGAUCAAAGCAGAAGCAAAAUUGAGCAUUGUUAUUUUGUGAUUUAAAAGGGGCAGUAUUUAAGAUAAAGGUUUAGGUAUCUUAUUUGCAGUAUUCCACAGUUCUGCUUCUAGACUUCCUGUAAUUUUAGCGACCUUUGACAGCAGAUUCUGUUUACAUCAGAAUUUGCUUUUGUUUCGGUUUUUUGGAGCCUGGGGAUCCAGAACCUGAAGUACUCCAGGCGAGCGCUCUACCAUUGAGCUGCGCCUCCAGCCUGAAUUGAAGUUUGAGCAAAGUACAGUGUUUGCAACUCCAACUGGAAGUUUUUUAAAGUUCUUCAAGUAGUAAAGUAGGUUAGCUUUGUUUGGAUGAGUAACUGGUACUAGUUAUGUUAUCUUACCAUCUGACAUGCGACUUUGGUAUUUUCUGCUUCUUAAGGAAAUUAUGAAAUAUGUAAAACUUAGUGACUUCCUAGGUAAGAAGAAAACUUGACAUUUUCAAAGGCUGUGAAUUUUUCUUGGAGGGAUUCUACCCCCGGCCCCCAGUAGUUGCUUUAAGUGUAUAAGCCCACCAGUUCCAGAUGAUAGGGGAUUAUGGAGUCAUGGUUCCCCUCAUUUGAGGAAGAGUGGGCCUGUGUUGUGACCAGGAGUGAGGGAAGGUGAACAGAGUUAUUUUUGUUUGUUUGUGCAAAUUAUUUUCUAUAUUAACUCUUUAAGCAUUAAUGUAUAACCGGAAAUUUUAAGAUGCAUGUUAUUGUAAGCGCAACAUAGUGGUGAUUUUGAGGUCUUUCUCUAAAACAUAAGUGGCACAUUUUAAAUUUCAAGUCUUAAAGUGCCUGAAAGUUAUUUGAUUCUCUCAACUAAUUUCUUUUGAGCCAUAUGUUUCCUCCUUUAAAUGUUUGUUGCAGAAUCACUAGUCUUCGUUUGAAGUACUCCCACAUUUCUAAAUGGCAUGAUUGCUCUAUUGAAGACAGUAGAAUCUGUUAACGUAAGACUGAAGAGAUUUUAUUGUGCAACUGUGUAAACUGGGGCUUUGCCCAGUCGGAUCUAAGUAUUUUUGUGUACAACUUGGUAAACACCAUAUUGCUGCUGUUUCUAAACCCUCCACCUACCGAAUUCUCAUGUUCAGCAUCGCAGAGGCAGAAAUACAAGCAUAAUCAUAUAUGGGCUUUGUUUCUUUUCAUUGAUUUUUCUUAGUGAUGAUUUCCCAGCCUUUUUUUUUUUUUUUGUCUCUUAGCUAUAAUUAUACAGACCUAGAAUUAUUCAAAUGUUUUCUAUUUUCAUGAUUAACUUUUAUUAGUGGACAAUAACAACUUAAGUCUUUAAUCCUCAUAUUGGUUAAAAACAUGAGGAGCCUUUUUUAUUUGAAUUACUUUUGUAAAAGAAAGCAACAGUCUGAAUAUUCAGGUGACUACUUUGGCAUAGUUCGGGUUUUUAUUAGUAUUUUUCCAGGUUAUGUUUUCCCAUGAACUAUUUUACUUUGUUAAUUUUGUGCUUAAUUUGGUGGCUAUAUCCUGCCUUAUUUAGAAUUUUAGAAAAUUGCCUUUUUGCGAUAAGUGCCCAGUUUUUAUUUCUAGUUUGAAGGUACGAGGACAUACAGACUGCUGAUAAAAGAAACCAGCACCCCUUUGCCCCAGCUUAUGUGUUACCAACAAAACCAUUCUCAGUACUGGUUUCAUUGUAGGGCCCAACCAGAAUUGGUCCUGCAUCUACAUGAGUGUUGCAUAUUUGAAAAGGGUUUGGGUGUGAUAAAUCACUACAGAAGUGCUGAAUGUAUUAAGACCUCGCUGCCGAUUGUAUUUCUAACGAUUAUUUUGUGUUUGCAGAAGUAUGUAGCACUUGUCCUCCAAGCUUUCAGGUGUAAGGGGGAAAGGUGAACCACAUUUUAAAGUCACUAAUGAGUGCAAUUUUUUUUUUUUUUGGAAUUGGGGUUCCCAAAAGGAAAUUUCACCGCCCAAAUCUCACAUACUUCUUAGCCUUUUACAAGCCAACAGAUUGACAUAAAGAUUGUCCGCAGUUCGUAAGAUCUAGCACAUAUACAAAAAUAAAACUUUAUAAAUU